Molecule: ribosomal RNA, 378 nt
Filed under: uncultured bacterium
Lineage: Bacteria
Description: bacterial SSU rRNA
Rfam family: Bacterial small subunit ribosomal RNA
Source: RNAcentral
GACGAACGCUGGCGGCGUGCCUAACACAUGCAAGUGGAGCGACGAACCAGGCUUCGGCCUGGGGCAAAGCCGCGAACGGGUGAGUAACACGUGGGUAACCUGCCCUGAUGAUUGGGACAACCCGAGGAAACUCGGGCUAAUACCGAAUGUGCCCUCCGGCCUCAAGGCCGCUGGGGAAAGGAAGCUUCGGCCUCCGCAUCGGGAUGGGCCCGCGGCCCAUUAGCUUGUUGGUGAGGUAACGGUCACCAAGGCGACGAUGGGUAGCUGGUCUGAGAGGACGAUCAGCCACACUGGGACUGAGACACGGCCCAGACUCCUACGGGAGGCAGCAGUGGGGAAUCUUGCGCAAUGCGCGAAAGCGUGACGCAGCAACGCCGC